AUUGAACGUUGGCGGCACGCCUUAUACAUGCAAGUCGAACGAGAAAGCACCUUCGGGUGUGAGUAAAGUGGCGGACGGGUGAGUAACGCGUAGGAACAUACCCAGUAGUGGGGGACAACUCGGGGAAACUCGAGCUAAUACCGCAUACGCUGCUCUUCUUUCGAGGAGCAGGAAAGUGGGGGAUCUUCGGACCUCACGCUAUUGGAGUGGCCUGCGUCGGAUUAGCUUGUUGGUGGGGUAAAGGCUCACCAAGGCGACGAUCUGUAGCUGGUCUGAGAGGACGAUCAGCCACACUGGAACUGAGACACGGUCCAGACUCCUACGGGAGGCAGCAGUAGGGAAUCUUGGGCAAUGGGCGCAAGCCUGACCCAGCGAUGCCGCGUGUGUGAAGAAGGCCUUAGGGUUGUAAAGCACUUUCAGCAGCGAAGAAACGCCGGGAGUUAAUACCUCCUCGGUCUUGACGUUAACUGCAGAAGAAGUACCGGCUAACUCCGUG
RNAcentral lists this ribosomal RNA (496 nucleotides) under uncultured bacterium. RNAcentral's name for it is "bacterial SSU rRNA". It matches the Rfam family "Bacterial small subunit ribosomal RNA", at positions 30 to 507 of the family's 1533-position model. The record is from RNAcentral.